Molecule: ribosomal RNA, 518 nt
Filed under: Melanelixia albertana
Lineage: Eukaryota; Fungi; Ascomycota; Lecanoromycetes; Lecanorales; Parmeliaceae
Description: eukaryotic LSU rRNA
Rfam family: Eukaryotic large subunit ribosomal RNA
Source: RNAcentral
AAUUUGAAAUCUGGCCCCUUCGGGGUCCGAGUUGUAAUUUGUAGAGAGUGCUUCGGGGGAGACCGCGGUCUAAGUCCAUUGGAACAUGGCGUCACAGAGGGUGAGAAUCCCGUAUGUGACCGUGGCUCGAACCCAUGUGAAGCCUCUUCGACGAGUCGAGUUGUUUGGGAAUGCAGCUCAAAAUGGGUGGUAAAUUUCAUCUAAAGCUAAAUACUGGCUGGAGACCGAUAGCGCACAAGUAGAGUGAUCGAAAGAUGAAAAGCACUUUGGAAAGAGAGUUAAAAAGUACGUGAAAUUGUUGAAAGGGAAGCGCUGGCAACCAGACCUGCCCGUAGGCGAUCAGCCGCUGUUCUCAGCGGUGCACUCGCUCUGCGAUCAGGCCAGCAUCGGUUCCGGCGGUCGGAUAAAGGCCUUGGGAAUGUACCUUCCCUUCGGGGGAGUCUUAUAGCCCUCGGUGCAAUGCGGCCAGCCGGGACCGAGGACCGCGCUUCGGCUAGGAUGCUGGCGUAAUGGUUGUC